RNAcentral lists this long non-coding RNA (210 nucleotides) under Hordeum vulgare. RNAcentral describes it as "long non-coding RNA (HVUL_LNC019155)". Lineage: Eukaryota; Viridiplantae; Streptophyta; Magnoliopsida; Poales; Poaceae. The record is from RNAcentral.
GAGUUUCUUCUUUUUCUUCUUCAUCGAUCUAGGAUGGGUUCCAGGCCGACAGCCUCGGAUAGCAAGGAUGGACGUCGUUCUUUUAUCGUUUUUUUUCGUCCGUAGUCGGACCCUGCUCUUCUACAUGGUGAUGGAAUAUGUUGAUGUAUUGAUGUGAUAUUGUUGUAGCUUGUGGAGAGUGUAAGCCAAUUUCAUAUACUCAUCUCUUCA